RNAcentral lists this long non-coding RNA (266 nucleotides) under Citrus maxima (pomelo). RNAcentral describes it as "long non-coding RNA (CMAX_LNC002552)". Lineage: Eukaryota; Viridiplantae; Streptophyta; Magnoliopsida; Sapindales; Rutaceae. The record is from RNAcentral.
CACAAGAAGCCAUAAUCAAGAAAGCAAAGAGAUGUUGCUAAGAAGCUCCUCGACACCAGUUCUAGGUUCUCUCCUUUCUCCAAUCCAAGAGGGUCCCAGCAGCAACCAUGAAACCAACGCCACCUUCAAGCACCACCUGCCACCACCGUCACCGACCACCACCAUUCACCACAGCCACAGCUACAACAAACUCUCGUGUGCGGCCUUUAAUAUUCCUACAGUCUCCUGCCAUUCCUCUCCCAGGUCGUCUCCCUCUGCCGCCGACC